AUUGAACGCUGGCGGCAUGCCUUACACAUGCAAGUCGAACGGCAGCGGACCUUCGGGUGCCGGCGAGUGGCGAACGGGUGAGUAAUAUAUCGGAACGUACCUUUCAGUGGGGGAUAACGUAGCGAAAGUUACGCUAAUACCGCAUAUUCUGUGAGCAGGAAAGCAGGGGAUCGCAAGACCUUGCGCUGAUUGAGCGGCCGAUAUCAGAUUAGCUAGUUGGUGAGGUAAAGGCUCACCAAGGCGACGAUCUGUAGCGGGUCUGAGAGGAUGAUCCGCCACACUGGAACUGAGACACGGUCCAGACUCCUACGGGAGGCAGCAGUGGGGAAUAUUGGACAAUGGGGGCAACCCUGAUCCAGCCAUGCCGCGUGUGUGAAGAAGGCCUUCGGGUUGUAAGCGACUUAAGUACGAGGAGGAA
Molecule: ribosomal RNA, 418 nt
Filed under: uncultured bacterium
Lineage: Bacteria
Description: bacterial SSU rRNA
Rfam family: Bacterial small subunit ribosomal RNA
Source: RNAcentral